This 468-nucleotide ribosomal RNA is filed under the name uncultured bacterium. RNAcentral describes it as "partial 16S ribosomal RNA". It matches the Rfam family "Bacterial small subunit ribosomal RNA", at positions 28 to 507 of the family's 1533-position model. The record is from RNAcentral.
GACGAACGCUGGCGGCGUGCUUAACACAUGCAAGUCGAACGGAAAGGCCCUGCUUUUGUGGGGUGCUCGAGUGGCGAACGGGUGAGUAACACGUGAGUAACCUGCCCUUGACUUUGGGAUAACUUCAGGAAACUGGGGCUAAUACCGGAUAGGAGCUCCUGCUGCAUGGUGGGGGUUGGAAAGUUUCGGCGGGUGGGGAUGGACUCGCGGCUUAUCAGCUUGUUGGUGGGGUAGUGGCUUACCAAGGCUUUGGCGGGUAGCCGGCCUGAGAGGGUGACCGGCCACCAUGGGACUGAGAUACGGCCCAGACUCCUACGGGAGGCAGCAGUGGCAAAUAUUGCACAAUGGGCGGAAGCCUGAUGCAGCAACGCCGCGUGCGGGAUGACGGCCUUCGGGUUGUAAACCGCUUUCGCCUGUUACGAAGCGUGAGUGACGGUAAUGGGUAAAGAAGCACCGGCUAACUACGUG